RNAcentral lists this ribosomal RNA (253 nucleotides) under uncultured bacterium. Its description in RNAcentral is "partial 16S ribosomal RNA". It matches the Rfam family "Bacterial small subunit ribosomal RNA", at positions 524 to 776 of the family's 1533-position model. The record is from RNAcentral.
UACGGAGGGUGCGAGCGUUGUCCGGAAUCACUGGGCGUAAAGGGCGCGUAGGCGGCGCGGGGAGUCAACGGUGAAAGCUCGGCGCUCAACGCCGAGUCGGCCGUCGAUACUCCCGUGCUCGAGCACUGUAGAGGCAGGUGGAAUUCCGGGUGUAGCGGUGGAAUGCGUAGAGAUCCGGAAGAACACCGGUGGCGAAGGCGGCGACCUGGUCCUUGACUGACGCUGAGGCGCGAAAGCGUGGGGAGCAAACAGG